UACGUAGGCAGCGAGCGUUGUUCGGAGUUACUGGGCGUAAAGGGUGUGUAGGCGGUUCUUUAAGUUUGGCGUGAAAUCUCCCGGCUCAACCGGGAGGGUGCGUCGAAUACUGAGGGACUAGAGUACGGGAGAGGAAAGUGGAAUUCCUGGUGUAGCGGUGAAAUGCGUAGAUAUCAGGAGGAACACCGGUGGUGUAGACGGCUUUCUGGACCGUAACUGACGCUGAGACACGAAAGCGUGGGUAGCAAACAGG
Molecule: ribosomal RNA, 253 nt
Filed under: uncultured bacterium
Lineage: Bacteria
Description: partial 16S ribosomal RNA
Rfam family: Bacterial small subunit ribosomal RNA
Source: RNAcentral